GCGGAGGUUGCCAAGCCAGGUUAAAGGCGCAAGGUUUAGGUCCUUGUCUCGCAGGAGUUCACGAGUUCAAAUCUCGUCCUCCGCACCA
Molecule: transfer RNA, 88 nt
Filed under: Candidatus Thorarchaeota archaeon
Lineage: Archaea; Promethearchaeati; Candidatus Thorarchaeota
Description: tRNA-Leu
Rfam family: tRNA
About the family: Transfer RNA (tRNA) molecules are approximately 80 nucleotides in length.
Source: RNAcentral